UGGGGAAUCUUGGACAAUGGGGGCAACCCUGAUCCAGCCAUGCCGCGUGGGUGAAGAAGGCCUUAGGGUUGUAAAGCCCUUUCAGUCGUGACGAUGAUGACGGUAGCGACAGAAUAAGCACCGGCUAACUCCGUGCCAGCAGCCGCGGUAAUACGGAGGGUGCAAGCGUUGUCCGGAUUUAUUGGGUUUAAAGGGUGCGUAGGCGGUUAUUUAAGUCAGUGGUGAAAACCCUGAGCUCAACUGAGGGCUUGCCAUUGAUACUGGAUAACUUGAUUACCGUACAGGUAGGCGGAAUUUAUGGUGUAGCGGUGAAAUGCAUAGAUACCAUAAAGAACACCGAUAGCGAAGGCAGCUUACUGGAGGGUUAAUGACGCUGAUGCACGAAAGCGUGGGUAGCGAACGGGAUUAGAUACCCGUGUAGUCC
This 424-nucleotide ribosomal RNA is filed under the name uncultured prokaryote. RNAcentral's name for it is "bacterial SSU rRNA". It matches the Rfam family "Bacterial small subunit ribosomal RNA", at positions 355 to 796 of the family's 1533-position model. The record is from RNAcentral.